RNAcentral lists this small nuclear RNA (278 nucleotides) under Chinchilla lanigera (long-tailed chinchilla). Its description in RNAcentral is "7SK RNA (ENSCLAG00000021761.1)". It matches the Rfam family "7SK RNA". From Rfam's summary of the family: 7SK was discovered as an abundant small nuclear RNA in the mid-70s but a possible function has only recently been suggested. Lineage: Eukaryota; Metazoa; Chordata; Mammalia; Rodentia; Chinchillidae. The record is from Rfam by way of RNAcentral.
GGAUUGUGAGGGCGAUCUGGCUGAGACGUGUCACCCCACUGAUUACCAGGGUUGUCUGAUGUGGCUAUCAAGGCGAGUGUCCCCUUUCCUCCCUCACUGCUCCAGGUGCAUCUCUCACAAAGCUAUGUGCUCAGUCGAAGAGGAUGACCACGCCCGAUAGAGGAGGACCCUUGCUCAGUAAAGUGUGUUCCCAUCAGAACUUCUCAAGAAGCUCUCAAGAAUGUCAGGUGUGGUGGCACACGCCUCUAAUCCCAGCACCUGGGAGGCUGAGGCAGGAG